GAUUUUUGGCGCAGUCGGUAAGAGGGUUGAUUGGUACGCAAUUGGUCCGGGGUUCGACCCCCCGUUAUGGUCA
Molecule: non-coding RNA, 73 nt
Organism: Caenorhabditis elegans
Lineage: Eukaryota; Metazoa; Nematoda; Chromadorea; Rhabditida; Rhabditidae
Source: the annotation of a RefSeq genome assembly